CGGAACGUGCCCAGUAGCGGGGGAUAACUACGCGAAAGCGUAGCUAAUACCGCAUACGCCCUUCGGGGGAAAGCAGGGGAUCGUAAGACCUUGCACUAUUGGAGCGGCCGAUAUCGGAUUAGCUAGUUGGUGAGGUAAUGGCUCACCAAGGCCGCGAUCCGUAGCUGGUUUGAGAGGACGACCAGCCACACUGGGACUGAGACACGGCCCAGACUCCUACGGGAGGCAGCAGUGGGGAAUUUUGGACAAUGGGGGAAACCCUGAUCCAGCCAUCCCGCGUGUGCGAUGAAGGCCUUCGGGUUGUAAAGCACUUUUGGCAGGAAAGAAACGGCGCGUGCUAAUACCAUGCGCAACUGACGGUACCUGCAGAAUAAGCACCGGCUAACUACGUGCCAGCAGCCGCGGUAAUACGUAGGGUGCAAGCGUUAAUCGGAAUUACUGGGCGUAAAGCGUGCGCAGGCGGUUCGGAAAGAAAGAUGUGAAAUCCCAGGGCUCAACCUUGGAACUGCAUUUUUAACUACCGGACUAGAGUAUGUCAGAGGGAGGUGGAAUUCCACGU
RNAcentral lists this ribosomal RNA (559 nucleotides) under uncultured bacterium. Its description in RNAcentral is "bacterial SSU rRNA". It matches the Rfam family "Bacterial small subunit ribosomal RNA", at positions 119 to 674 of the family's 1533-position model. The record is from RNAcentral.